GGUGCUGACUAGCUCAACUGGUAGAGCAUGGCAUUAACAUUGCCAGGGUUAAGGGUUGGACUGGUAUUUGGUAUUGUAAGACGCUUUGGAGAAAAGAGUCCACCA
Non-coding RNA from Merluccius polli (Benguela hake), 105 nucleotides. The record is from the annotation of a GenBank genome assembly. Lineage: Eukaryota; Metazoa; Chordata; Actinopteri; Gadiformes; Merlucciidae.